CACACAAAAAAAUACACUAUCAUAUUUUUGACUGACAAGAACCCUAAAAAAGUUCUCUCAACAUCAUCUUCUCUCUCAAGAGACCACAGCUGCCAAGCUCCCUUGCUGCCUCUGCCAAACACCGGAUUCUGGCGAGUCUAGUAGCCUUCAGCCUCCUCCUAUCUCAAAAAGGGACUCUCUCAACUCCAAGAGAGAACAACCGCAUAUCCAUCUUUGGAGAUUCCCCUUUGUCUCUCACCCUCACUUCUCAAUAGACAGCCACCUCCUCCUUCAUUUUUCAUCUGUUUUCCCUCAACCUUGAGAUAAAAAAAGCUUCCCCCAUCUCUGUUCCUUCACGGCUUUGUUCAAAACCCGCCGGAAAUAAUUUUAUUUGGUCAAACGCAAACAGAUCUGACCGGAUCUGUGUUUUCCGGUCGACUCCGGCGAAGCCAUGUUCUCUUGAUGUUGCUGGUGCUAUUCCGGAGUCAUCGCUGUUGAAGUAGCACCGCUGGCCUUUGAUAAUGAAGCUAAAAUCUAGAGAAACCCGGAACCUUAUCUUUCUGGCCACCUCUGAGUUUUGCGGCCACUGGUUCUUGCGCUUUCAUCCAACAAUUUGAGGCCUUUGGUUGUGAUUGUUUGCUGUGUUUGGACGUUAUUACUCAACUUGGGUCCGUUUGAUUGACUCGGUUUUGGCAAGAGAUGCAGAUUGGAACAAGAAUACUACACAGGCCGAUCACAGUAAUUUUUGAGGCUACGAUUCCACGAACGACCUUCUAAACCGGGCCCAAAAUAACGAGACGAUGAUAAUAAACAUUGGGGAAUAAAAGACGAGAUGCGAUGAACCAAUAAAACUAUGGAGGGCGACAAAGUUGGCCACCGGAGUCGUUACCGAGACGGUUCCCUUCCUCAUGUCUAGGCGGAUAUCGAAAAACACAUAUCUAAACCUCCUAUAUUAUUUUUAAAACUAUUUUUCAAAAAUAAUUUCCGAAAAACAUUUUUUGCAAACAAUUUUUCAUAAACAAAAAUAUUUUUGCAAAUCAUUUUCAAGUGCAAUUUUUCAAAAACAUUUUCAAAACAUGCCACUUUAUUAACUUAUCUUUUAUGUUAUAUUAUUUCGCUAACAAUUUUACUUUUCUUGUCUUGCGAGGUACUAUUAUACGAAGCCUCUUUCGAAAGACGGCAUUUGGAAAAAGAUCGAAGACAAAUACCUCAUCGAUCCCCGCUUCGUACUUCCCAUUCAUGGAUGUACCCAAAACCAAAAGUAUAGUAAAGUAGUAGAUAGAUGUGUUUGUUUGCUUGCUUUAAUAUUAUCUAUUUGCUAACCAUUUAGGAAAUUGCAUCUACUUAAUAAUCUGUAAUUCAUAAUGUUGUAUGUUAUGUGAGUUCAAAAAAUUAUUCAUGUAUGCUAGGUUGAAUACAUUCAUAAUGUGAUUGAUAUGCA
Molecule: non-coding RNA, 1420 nt
Organism: Nicotiana tabacum (common tobacco)
Lineage: Eukaryota; Viridiplantae; Streptophyta; Magnoliopsida; Solanales; Solanaceae
Source: RefSeq, a predicted model, not a curated record